CCCAAAGUUCUAGACUCCCCAAGCUCGAACCUCUUGGAGAUUCAAGGCGUUCUGAUUUCUAUGGCAGGCCCCUCCCACCUGUAGCAAUUAGACAGAGACCAAAUGGUGAAACCCAUGAUGUCAUUUCCUCGCACCUUCUCCUCUUUCCCCUCGUAUACGGUUAGAGAUGCCUCGUCUCCACCAAUCACGGCCUUUUGUUUUAUUUCUCUCAUCUCCAAGCCCACGCCGUGUAAAUACGCAACAAUCACCAGCCACUGUCGGCGAGAGGAACCAAUCAGCUUGCUCAGAGGGAUCAUGUGACCAGCCAAGGAUUGGGAAUUCCACAGAGACUCAUGGUUUAUUUGAAACUUUCAGCAGUGACCGAAUUCGGAUCUACAAAAGUAGACAUUUUAUUUUUUCCACCAAAAGAAGAAGCGUUAAUCUCAACGAUAAGAUUAUAACGUUCAUCGAAUUGUCUGUGUAUAAAUCUUUAUUUUUAGACUGAAUCACAUAUAACUGUGAAAUCUGUGUUUUUCUGAGACAGGAGAUAUUAGUAUAUAUUAAAUAACACUACAACUGUGCUGAACAGAACUUGCUCCCGCUCGUGCACACGCUCGUUAUCAAGCUGUUGGGAUUAAAAAACACCGUGAAGGUUUGUGCAUCAGCAUGUGAUGAUGAAAGGUACUGGUAUUUGAUGUCGUUUCCAACCUGCUGGGGUUCCAGAUGUUCUGAAAGUGAACACUUUUUUUUAUUUUUUAUCAGGAUUUUGCUGGUGUACAUGCCCACCACAACUUCCAGAAUCUCACCAGCAGCUAACAACAAAACAUUGUUAAAGGAAAAAUUCACCUUGAACGUCUUUACUAUCAACAUGUGAUCAACAGCAUCCAAGAUUUAUUUUCUGAGGAAAUUCUGAGUUUUAAGUUUAAACAUCUCGUAUCAACAUGUCGGUCUAUUUUUCCUACGUUACCCACAGUGUGACUUCCCGCUGAUCAUUGCAACAGCCCUGGCUUCAUCUCUACCUAAAGAGAGUGAUGCAGCUGCGCUUUAGUCCUUUAGACUGUCCAGUUCACUCACCUCCUCAUCUGUACACUCUCUUUAAACAGACCGGCUUCCAAAGCUCUUAGGCCGAUACCACCGUCAACGCCAUCACGCUCGUCAUCUCGGAGAUCUCUAGCCGAGCCGAGUCUCUGACGUAGCUUCGUAUCGUAUAGCUGCAUUGCAUUCUGGGGCUUUUUUUUUUUAGGCCAGGCUCUUGCACCGACGUCUCCACUACUUCUGCGCUGAAUUUCUCGUUAAUAAAUAUUACGCACUACAGAGACGGUGAGUGAGGAAAAGAAGCUGAAGGUUAUCCGUUUUGUUUGAAAUUAGUUCUUCAAGCAUAACUUCUCACAGAAAGAAUGAAAAUACAGAACCAACCAACGAAUAAGCACCCUCGCAGAUAUUUAACGUGUUUCAGGGUGGAGUUUUCCUUUAAAGUGAAUAUUUUCCCGAUGGGAGAAACACAGCAGAAUUCUUUAACCAGUGCGUCGAGAAGCAUUUCACUUUCACUGGUUUAUGGGCACUUCAUGUAUUUCUGUUGCUAAGCCGAAGCAUGUACGGACUACGGCGUAGUGCUUUGUUUGAAAAGGGCAGUGUUCGUUUUUUUAUUUUUAGUUUUAGGUUUUUUAAAAAAAAAUUGUAACAGUUGAGACUGUUACAGAUUAAAUCUAUUGUUGACAUCAUGUUUUGCAGAAACACAUUACCCAGACCAUGAAAUGCUAAAUUAAGCUGGAACAUUUCACACACACUACAUUCGAAUUUCACUUUUAGAGGUAUAUUCAUUUUAUCAUACAGUGUCCUCAACUAAUAUUGGCACCCUUGUUAAAUAUGGGAUCCAGCGUGGACCUCGGAAUGUGAAGGAUCUGGAGAGAUUCUGUACGGAGGAACGCUCUCGGAUCCCUCGCCAUGUAUAUUCUCCGACCUCAUCAGGCGUUAUAGGAGAAGACUCAGAGCUGUUAUCUUAGCACAAAGUAUUGACUAAAACGGUGUCAAUAAUUGUUGCACACCUAUAUUUAACAAAGAGAAUUUUUUUUUUGGAUAAACCUGUGUUUGUGCAGUUGUUUGAUAUCCAUGAGAGCAGAGUAAUUUUUUUCGAAAGGUUAAACAAUAGACAGUUUUUCACAGAUUUCUUUGCUCAUAUUUACCAAGGGUGCCAAUAUUAGUGGAAGGCACUGUGGGUAUGUACUGUAAAUGGCAUAGGUAGGUUAUUUAUUUAGGGGUGUUUUUUCUUUGUUUGUUUUUUUUUAACCCUGUGUUUCCCAUCAUGUAUUUAACAUUUUAUAUUUGACACCCCUGAUUGAAUGUGUUUUUAUGUAUUUCAUUUCAAAUACGUAACACCUUUUCUUUUCUCUAAUAUCACAUUCUCAUACCUUUUCUUUUUUUUUUUUUUUUUUUGUUACAUGCACUUUUUAUCCAUGUGGUUUUAAUAUGAAUGCAAUUAAAUGCAUAAAUAUUUUUAUUCAUUUGGAGUCUGUUUUGAUAUCGGUGCUCUUCAGAUCUGCUCUUUUCUAUCCGUCUCUUUAAAAGGCGACUCGAGGUCUAACACGUGUUUUCUGCAGGUGUCUGAAUGAUUUCAGUGUUAUUGUUGCAAAUGCGGUUCGUUCCAAAUGAAGCAGUGGGCUUAGAAGUUAAACAGCUGCAUUGAUACAGGGUAGUGGGUCCCAAAAAGUGUACAUAACAACCUCUGAAUUAGAUUUUAUAUAAGAUAAGUUUUUUUUAAAUACUUACUGAUGUGUAUAAACAUUGGCGGUAAAUGUUGAGGACAUUUUCUCUAUGAAUUCCUUUUGAUGUGUAUCCCUAAUAUUGGUACUUUCACCCAAACCCUUCCCAUGAUGCAUUACAGGACCCAGGUACGCUUCACACACACAAUCUAUAUAUAAAAGUUUUAAACACAACUGAAAUCAUUCAUUUAGGUUACUUUAUUUGUUCCAAGCACAGUUCAUACUGUAGGUAGUAAGUAGGUAUGGACCAAUCUGAAACUAAGCAUUGCUAUCAGUAACGAAGGAUCAGUAUUGGAUUAGAUUAGACAUUCUGUUGCCAGUACACCUUUGAUGUAUUAUGUCUUACGUAACUUGCUAGCGUUUCAGUAUCGAUCACUAUUGGAUAUCAACCAAACGCCCAACCAAUGGGAUCGGUGCACGUCUAUAAAGAAAAGC
Molecule: long non-coding RNA, 3173 nt
Organism: Ictalurus punctatus (channel catfish)
Lineage: Eukaryota; Metazoa; Chordata; Actinopteri; Siluriformes; Ictaluridae
Source: Ensembl